AAGUAAAAAGUGAAACAUCACCCACGGUUUCGACCCGUGACUUGGUAGACUACCUGCCUUUACUUU
RNAcentral lists this transfer RNA (66 nucleotides) under Coccocrater sp. MNHN-IM-2013-41044. RNAcentral's name for it is "tRNA-Arg". Lineage: Eukaryota; Metazoa; Mollusca; Gastropoda; Cocculinidae. The record is from RNAcentral.